CCUACGGGAGGCAGCAGUGAGGAAUAUUGGUCAAUGGGCGAGAGCCUGAACCAGCCAAGUCGCGUGAGGGAGUACUGCCCUAUGGGUUGUAAACCUCUUUUGUCGGGGAGCAACAGCCGGACGUGUCCGGCUGUGAGAGUACCCGAAGCAAAAGCAUCGGCUAACUACGUGCCAGCAGCCGCGGUAAUACGGAGGAUGCGAGCGUUAUCCGGAUUUAGUGGGUUUCAAGGGAGCGUAGGCCGGUCUUUAAGCGUGCCGUGAAAUUUUGUGGCGCAACCAUGAGAGUGCGGCGCGAACUGGAGACUUUGAGUGCGCGGAAGGCAGGUGGAAUUCGUGGGGUAGCGGUGAAAUGCUUAGAUAUCACGAAGAACCCCGAUUGUGAAGGCAGCCUGCCGCAGCGUUACUGACGCUGAAGCUCGAAAGCGCGGGUAUCGAACAGGAUUAGAUACCCGUGUAGUC
This 459-nucleotide ribosomal RNA is filed under the name uncultured bacterium. Its description in RNAcentral is "partial 16S ribosomal RNA". It matches the Rfam family "Bacterial small subunit ribosomal RNA", at positions 338 to 795 of the family's 1533-position model. The record is from RNAcentral.